This is a non-coding RNA of Pantherophis guttatus, 455 nucleotides long. The record is from RefSeq and is a predicted model, not a curated record. NCBI's taxonomy places the organism in Eukaryota, Metazoa, Chordata, Lepidosauria, Squamata, Colubridae.
AACUGAAACCCAUGGUGGUUAGGUGAGGCAACUUCCUGCAAGUUUCCUACAACCAAGUCAGUGGGGAAGCCAGAGGGAAGUUGCAAGCCCCAGUUGAUUUACCAGCAGGCCAUACUAGGAUUAUGAUUAUGAUCAUUCAAAAUAGAUGAAGGGAUUACAGAGUCAAGAACUGCAAAUGGGAUUAAUUAGGACAAUCAGUACAAACAGUAGAAGCAGCUCAUCAUAUGCACACUUAUAAACUACCAUCACAGGAAGAUAUCAAGCCCCGCGAUCUUGAAGACUAGAAGUAGCAACCCUGCAACAUUCCAUCUGUUUCUCAUGAUGCCAACUCAAUUAGUGAUAUGAUGGAGAAGCACCUGGAGAAAUGCUCAGCCUCUGCAACAUUAAAAGAAAAUUAUUCCAUCUUGAAGUUAUUAAAUUAACAGAGCAGAAAAUAAAACAUUUUCAAACCCAAA